Molecule: ribosomal RNA, 460 nt
Filed under: uncultured bacterium
Lineage: Bacteria
Description: SSU rRNA
Rfam family: Bacterial small subunit ribosomal RNA
Source: RNAcentral
AGAAUCAACGCUGGCGGCGUGCCUAACACAUGCAAGUCGAACGAGAAAGUGGAGCAAUCCAUGAGUAAAGUGGCGCACGGGUGAGUAACACGUGACUAACCUACCCUCGAGUGGGGAAUAACUUCGGGAAACCGAGGCUAAUACCGCAUAAAACCUAAGGGUCAAAGGAGCAAUCCGUUUGAGGAGGGGGUCGCGGCAGAUUAGUUAGUUGGCGGGGUAAUGGCCCACCAAGACGAUGAUCUGUAUCCGGCCUGAGAGGGCGCACGGACACACUGGAACUGAAACACGGUCCAGACUCCUACGGGAGGCAGCAGUGGGGAAUUUUGCGCAAUGGGGGAAACCCUGACGCAGCAACGCCGCGUGGAGGAUGAAAUCCCUUGGGAUGUAAACUCCUUUCGAUCGGGAAGAUAAUGACGGUACCGGAAGAAGAAGCCCCGGCUAACUUCGUGCCAGCAGCCGC